UGGCUGAGCAGUACCGAGCCAUCGGUAUAGAUGUGUACCAAAGCACCCGCUUGAUUCAGGAAUGAAGCGGUGAAAGCUAUACCAAACAUGAUUAAUGUAUUCCUGUGCUCCUUCAAUGUAUCACACGCUGUAACACAUCUGUAUCAGUAUACCUGCAAGAGACAUAUGUAUUACAUGUAGUACCAUGGUACAUGGUAUACGAGGACCCUCUGUCUAUGGAGUAACAGCUAAUACUUAUCGCGAUACUCGUCGAAAAGACAAAAGGAUGCUACUAGCGGGCAGUCCGUACGGAACGUUACAAUUGUCGGCGAUUAAAUAAUGUGUAGCGCAAACAUUGGUAUACGGGUGAGUGCAACGUACGUAUCGAUGUUUUGUAGAAAAAAGGUCAUACACACCGUGUCCGUUCUCCGUUCCCAUGCAACGUAACGGCACUUUACUUGGAGCGAUCGCGCUCUCGCCCGACGUCACUGCGCUCGUUGUACGCUCUAAACUAGUCAAGCGGAUCCGCAAUAAGCGUGCCACGAGGGUUAUCGUCGUGAGAUAUACUAUAUCUACUGGCUGACGUAUUAGUGAUGAGCCUGUAGACUCAUGAGAAAAUAAGAUGCCUAAAGAUUCUUCGCAAAACGCGCUCCUAUUUUCUUUAUCAGAGAGACCAAACAACAGUCGAAGGAACAAACAACUCUCCUCGCGCUCCGGCGAUAUAGACGACGUAUUGGAAUCGAUGUUUUAUCAAAGUAUAUCAUAGCGAAGAGCGCGUUCAGAGAAUCGUUCGAGAUAAACCGGAGGAGAAAGACUGAUGAAA
Molecule: long non-coding RNA, 802 nt
Organism: Ooceraea biroi (clonal raider ant)
Lineage: Eukaryota; Metazoa; Arthropoda; Insecta; Hymenoptera; Formicidae
Source: RefSeq, a predicted model, not a curated record